This 424-nucleotide long non-coding RNA is filed under the name Monodelphis domestica (gray short-tailed opossum). RNAcentral describes it as "lncRNA (ENSMODG00000041014.1)". Lineage: Eukaryota; Metazoa; Chordata; Mammalia; Didelphimorphia; Didelphidae. The record is from RNAcentral.
AGGGUUGGAUGUGUGUGAGUGUGUGAGCUUGUGUUUCAAUGUGUGUGUGUAUUGUGUGUGUGUGUGUGUGUGUGUGUGUGUGUGUGUGUGUGUGUGUGUGUAUUUUAAGAACUCCUUUGAAUUCCCAGGGUGGUCACAUUCAUGUCUUUGCCCUGACAGGUAUGGGAAAGUCUGGAUCAAGAUGUGGUAUUCCCACUUUGAAGUCGACGGUCAUGCUCGGCUGCCAUAUGAGCUCUUUGGCUGCCAUCAAGUCUGUUGUCGUGGGAGACCAGGUUGGAGGUAACCAUGGAACUUCGUGGAGUUGAAAGGAAUUUCAAGCAUCAGUUGGUUCAAAAGUUUCAAACUUACAGGCCACUGGCAACAACCAACAGACACAAAUUAAAAUGUAAUUGGGAAAUGUGAUGCAAAAUAAAUAAAAUUAAAA